GUGUUCACUUUGGCAGCACACACACUAACACUGGAAAGACACCGAGGCGAUUAGCAGAGCCCCUGUGCAAGGAUGACACACAAAGUCCUGAAGCGCUCCAUGUUUUU
Small nuclear RNA from Erinaceus europaeus (western European hedgehog), 107 nucleotides. Lineage: Eukaryota; Metazoa; Chordata; Mammalia; Eulipotyphla; Erinaceidae. The record is from RefSeq and is a predicted model, not a curated record.